AACGCACAUUGCGCCCCUUGGUAUUCCAUGGGGCAUGCCUGUUCGAGCGUCAUUUGUACCCUCAAGCUUUGCUUGGUGUUGGGUGUUUGUCCUGUAUGGGACUCGCCUUAAAGUAAUUGGCAGCCGGCGUAUUGGCCUUGGAGCGCAGCACAAUUUGCGCUUUCAGUCAGUAUAUGUUGGCGUCCAUAAGACCUUUUAUCACUUUUGACCUCGGAUCAGGUAGGGAUACCCGCUGAACUUAA
Molecule: unclassified non-coding RNA, 242 nt
Filed under: uncultured fungus
Lineage: Eukaryota; Fungi
Description: sequence contains ITS2
Source: RNAcentral